GAGUAGUGUCAUGUUUGGGGAGCAGAAUAGGAAGGUGGAAACGGACAUAUGGGAAGAAAACGGUAGCCAGAGCCCAAGCGCCACCAAGUUGGCACCAAACCAAAGUCUUUGGAAGAGAAUUACAGCUCUGUCUGAGUGAGGAUAAAGUGAUUGAUGUAGCAUAAAGGUCACAAUGAAUAAACAAAAUCUGAUUCAGAGACUAUGCCAAGCCAGGUGAUAAGAUCUUGAAGAACCAAGAUCCAGAGAGAAGUGAAAGGAAUCAGUGUUCCAUGGAACGGAAGUGCAUCAGGAAAGGAAAGAGAAAACAGAUUCAGACUAAAGCACGUGCCUGACAAUGUGUCUGCUGCAUUGCAUGAGGCAGCCUUGCUGCAGCCAACCAUAGUGGGGUCCAAUUAAGAGGCUUAAUUGAAGAAUUCCAAGUUAGCAGACUGUCCUGGCACUCAGAGGAUAUUGUGCCUGGUAAUGAUAGUGUUGAAUUGGACAGAAAGAAUAUUCACAAAGAUGCAGAAUUCUUGAAUACAGAGGGUUGACUGGGAGAUCUGACAUCUGCAGGUUUUGGUAUCCGUGGAAGGUUCUGCAACCAAUCUCUGGUGGAUGUGAGAGGUGAUUGUACUUAAGCUUCAAGAAAGGCCUCCUCUGCUAAAAAUGCUCUCUGAUUAGCCAUUCACUGCUUCCUGAACUAUGAAGACAUCUUCUAGGAAUACUCAGGAUCUUCUGCUAUGUGGCUUUAAUUUAUUUUAAGAUUAAUUCCUCAUUACCUUCUUACACAAAGCCACCAUUAGCAUAUCAAGCACAGCUGUACAAAUUUUUAAAAGGCCAAAAGAUGUAUCUGCCAAUUCUAGGAGGAUAUAAACCUGAAGGCACAAAUCUGGGCUGGAGCACAUGGUUUCCCUUGUGAGAAGAAAAAGUCUCCUUCCUCUGAAUGGACACACCUUGCACACCAGGGCACAAGGUUUGUCUAGAAGAGCACAGCUGAACAUCAUAAAGUGCAGAACCACACACCUGGCAUCCUUGUCCCUACACAAGAGAAAAAGCUUUCAGCUUGUCAACAUUGAGUAGGAUAAUCUUUUUAAGAUACAGUGCUGGAACAACUGGACAUCCACAUGUGGAAAGAUGAGUCUAGACACAGACCUUAUGUCCUUUCCAAAAAUUAACUCAAAUUGAAUCACAGACUUAAAUGUAAAAUGCGAAGUUGGCUGGGCGCAGUGGCUCACGCCUGUAAUCCUGGCACUUUGGGAGGCCGAGGCGGGUGGAUCACGAGGUCAGGAGUUUGAGACCAGCUUGGCCAACAUGAUGAAACCCCGUCUCUGCUAAAAAAUACAAAAAAUUAGCUGGGCGUGGUGGCGCGCGGUUGUAGUCCCAGCUACCCAGGUGGCUGAGGCGGGGGAACAGCUUGAACCCAGGAGGCAGAGGUUGCAGUGAGCCAAGAUCAAGCCACUGCACUCCAGCCUGCGGACGGGGCAAGACUCCGUCUCAAAAAAAAAAAAAAAAAAAAGCAAAGUUGUAAAAUGGCUGGAAGAAAACACAGGACAAUAUUUAGAUGAUCUUGGGUUUGGAGAUGUCUUUUAGACUUUUAGAAGCUAAUCUAAAAGAAGCUACACACGGCCGGGUGCUGUGGCUCACACCUGUAAUCGCAGCACUUUGGGAUGCUGAGGCAGGUGGAUCACCUGAGGUCAGGAGUUCGAAACCAGCCUAACCAACAUGGUGAAACCCCAUCUCCACUAAAAACACAAAAAAUUAGCCGGGCGUGGUGACACGCGCCUGUAGUUCCAGCUACUCCGGAGGCUGAGGCAAUAGAAUGGUGUGAACCUGGGAGGCGGAGCUUGCAGUGAGCUGAGAUCACACGACUGCACUCCAGCCUGGUGACAGAGCAAGACUCGGUCUCAAAAAAACCCAAACAAACAAAAAGAAGCUACAUAUUAUAUGAUUCCAACUAUAUGGCAUCCCGGAAAGGCAAAAUUAUGGAGAUGGUAAAGAGAUCAGUGAUUGCUGGGGGCUGGGGAGAGGAAGAAAUGAAUACAUGGAACACAGAGGGUUUCAGGGUCAGAAAAACUACUCCUUGUGUGAUACUAUAACGGUGGAUACAUGUCAUUAUGUAUUUAUCCAAACCAAUAGAAUGUACAACACCAAGAGUGAACUCUAUUGUAAACUAUAGACAUUGGGUUAUAUCGUUGUGUGCUAUGGUCUAAAUGUUUAUCCCCACCACCACUAAAUUUAUAUGUUGAAAUCCUAACCUUCAAGGUGAUAGUGUUAGAAGAUGGGACCUUUUCGAAGUGGAGCCCUCGUGAUUGGGAUUAACACCCUUAUGACAGAGACCACAGAGGGCUGGCUAGUCCUUCUAUACUGCCAUGUGUGUACAGUAAAGAGAUGAUUGUCAAUGAACCAAGAAGCGGGCCCUCAGCAGACACUAAAUCUGCUGACACCUUGAUUUUGACUUCCCAGUUUCCAAAACUAUAAGAAAUAAAUUUCUUUUUUAAUAAGCUACACAGUUUAUGGUAUUUUGUUAUAGCAGCCUGAAGAGAGUAAAAGGAUGUAGAAAUAUAGGUUCAGUAACCAUAACAAAAGUACCACUCUGUGGAAGAUGUUAGUAAUGUGAGAGGCUAUGAAUGAGGUGGCGAGGAGGUGGUAUAUGGGAAAUGUCACUUUGUUCUGUUCAGUUUUGCUGUGAAUCUAAAACUGUUCUAAUAGAUAAAGUUGAAUACAAUAUUAAAACAACAACAUGUUACUGUCUUUGUAACUAUUCAAUGACAUUUAGGCAGGGCAGAGGCUAUUGGACAUUAUAUAUAUCCUUAAAGUCUCCCUUUAUAUAUAUACACACAGAUAUAAAUAUAUAAGUAUAGAUAAAGAUGAAGCCUAAAAACCUAGUUUAAUUAUGUUAAAUUUCAUUAGGGAAUAUGUAAUUUUACCUCUCGCUUUUAUUAUAAUGGUCUUGACUUGAGCUGGCCAUGCACAUUUUCACCAUGCUGAAUUUAAAAUUGGGCUACUUUAUAGAGUUUUGAACAAAAUGCUGAUUCCCCUCAGACUCUUUACAACAUUGCUCUGAAUCAUAUGAAUUGCCCUUAAUCAAUAAAGCAGCACUCAUUUGACUGGCCCUGUAAUGUGUAACCUUCUAUUUCCAAAUAUGGUAAACAUAGAGAAGCCAUCUAUGUGAGAAGGUUUGAGUAGGCUUUACUCCCAUUUACCCUAGUAUUGAUUUCUAUAUAUGGCAGGAAGGAGGAAAAGGGAUGUUUUCAUCCCUUCUCAGUUCCUAUCCCUAAAUUUUUAUCUUACCAAGAACUCAAAUGCUGUUUCCUU
Molecule: long non-coding RNA, 3294 nt
Filed under: Homo sapiens (human)
Lineage: Eukaryota; Metazoa; Chordata; Mammalia; Primates; Hominidae
Description: HSALNT0092319
Source: RNAcentral